CCUACGGGUGGCUGCAGUGAGGAAUAUUGGUCAAUGGCCGGAAGGCUGAACCAGCCAUGCCGCGUGAAGGUCAGUGCCCUAUGGGCGUUAAACUUCUUUUGUGCGGGAGCAAUAAUGGUUACGUGUGGCCAGACGAGAGUACCGUUCGAAUAAGCAUCGGCUAACUCCGUGCCAGCAGCCGCGGUAAUACGGGGGAUGCAAGCGUUAUCCGGAUUUAUUGGGUUUAAAGGGUGCGUAGGCGGAAUGCCAAGUCAGCGGUAAAAUAGCGGGGCUCACCCGCGCUCCGCCGUUGAAACUGGAGAUCUUGAGUGGGCGAGAGGUAUGCGGAAUGCGUGGUGUAGCGGUGAAAUGCAUAGAUAUCACGCAGAACACCGAUGGCGAAGGCAGCAUACCGGCGCCUAACUGACGCUGAAGCACGAAAGCGUGGGUAGCGAACAGGAUUAGAUACCCUUGUAGUC
Molecule: ribosomal RNA, 458 nt
Filed under: uncultured bacterium
Lineage: Bacteria
Description: partial 16S ribosomal RNA
Rfam family: Bacterial small subunit ribosomal RNA
Source: RNAcentral